Molecule: ribosomal RNA, 513 nt
Filed under: uncultured bacterium
Lineage: Bacteria
Description: partial 16S ribosomal RNA
Rfam family: Bacterial small subunit ribosomal RNA
Source: RNAcentral
GACGAACGCUGGCGGCGUGCUUAACACAUGCAAGUCGAACGAAAAGAGGGAAAGAGCUUGCUCUUUCCGGAAUUGAGUGGCAAACGGGUGAGUAACACGUAAACAACCUGCCUUCAGGAUGGGGACAACAGACGGAAACGACUGCUAAUACCGAAUAAGUUCCAAGGGCCGCAUGGCCCAUGGAAGAAAAGGUGGCCUCUACCUGUAAGCUAUCGCCUGAAGAGGGGUUUGCGUCUGAUUAGCUGGUUGGAGGGGUAACGGCCCACCAAGGCGACGAUCAGUAGCCGGUCUGAGAGGAUGAACGCCCAAACUGGAACGGAGACACGGUCCAGACUACUACGGGAGGCAGCAGUGGGGAAUCUUCCGCAAUGGGCGAAAGCCUGACGGAGCAACGCCGCGUGAGUGAUGACGGCCUUCGGGUUGUAAAACUCUGUGAUCCGGGACGAAAAGGCAGAGUGCGAAGAACAAACUGCAUUGACGGUACCGGAAAAGCAAGCCACGGCUAACUACGUG